AUGGGGGACAGGAAGGUCCCAGCUUUGGAGGGAGUGGAAUGUAAGCUAGAAAAGUUGAAGCUCUCAGAUGCAGAGAAGAAAGGCAUUAAGAUUGGAAAGAAGCAGGCUUGUUCUCCUACCAUGGGCAAGCUACAAGCAGUGGGUAAGCUCUUCUCAGAAAGACCGGCAAAAUCUGAAUAUUUGGGGAGAACUUUAGCAGGGUGGUGUCCUUUCUCAAGGGUAGAAUGCAAGGAUAUGGGAAGGAAUCGGUUUCUUUUCACAUUCCAUGAAGAAGCAAGCAAGAAGAAGGCACUAGAAAAUGGCCCAUGGAUGUUCAACAAAAACUUGCUAGUGAUGGAAGAUUUUGUACCCAGUAAUACUAUUGAUGAGUAUGAUUUUAAGAUGAUCCCCAUCUGGGUCGGAGCUUAUGGUAUCCCUAUGGGAAUGAUGAGCAUGGAAACAGGAGAUCUG
This 450-nucleotide ribosomal RNA is filed under the name Triticum aestivum (bread wheat). RNAcentral describes it as "partial small subunit ribosomal RNA". The record is from RNAcentral. Lineage: Eukaryota; Viridiplantae; Streptophyta; Magnoliopsida; Poales; Poaceae.